Ficedula albicollis (Collared flycatcher) is the source of this 2340-nucleotide long non-coding RNA. Lineage: Eukaryota; Metazoa; Chordata; Aves; Passeriformes; Muscicapidae. The record is from Ensembl.
CUAACUAACUAACUAACUAACUAACUAACUAACUAACUAACUAACUAACUAACUAACUAACUAACUAACUAACUAACUAACUAACUAACUAACUAACUAACUAACUAACUAACUAACCAACCAACCAGCCAGCCCCGGCCCGUCCUGUCCCCGCGGGUGCCGCGGCGCCGGCCCCCGCACGAAGCCGUGGGCUGGCGCUGCCCUACACCCAAUCUCCGGCCAAUCUGUCACGCUUCAUGCCAGUUGUUCUAUUUACGGAACCGUUCAGGGGUUCAGAGCCCUGAGAGCUGAUGCUUCCUGUUCAGCCUGGACUGCCCUGAGGCAUAGACAGCCACACACUGGCCAUCAGCAGUGGCAGCCCUCCCUUCGCCUCUCCUGGGGCACAGGAUUUGAAGAUAAAUUCAUAUUGCGGAGGAUAGGGACCCUCAAGUGUAAGAAAAGCUGUAACAAAAUAUUUAAGAAGUAUGUAUACUGUUGUGGAAGUGAUAAUGCUGACCAAAUGUGGCCUGCAGCCUCAUUAAAUGAAUAAAUGAUUAUAUUUAUAUUAAGGCCUUCUUUUAAUUGAGAAGUGAAAAGGAGAUGUUGAAUAAUCUCCUAUUUCGACAAGGUUUUCAGCUUCCACAUGCUCCAAUUAGUUAAUGAUUUUUUCUUUUCUGUUAUUAUAUGUUCUAUACUAUCAGUAUUUAAGUACGUGGUAUUUAUUACACACAUAAUGGACAUGGUUAUACAGUUUUGCAUAUAGUAUAUAAUUAUGCAAUAUAGAUCUAAUUGUAUUAUGCACUUUCCAUUGCACAUGUAUUCUACAACAAUGCUGAAGUGAGGAGGCCUCCAGCAGGGGCAGUAAAAUGUGUGCACUGUGCAUUUGUGCUUCAGCCCCUCCGCUGCCCAGUCUGUUACAGGUAUGUAUGCACCAGAGAAGCUGAGAUACAGGUAAAAUACUCUACAGAAUGUGACAUGGAAGCAGCCAUUUCUAUGAGCCACUAUUCUGUGAACUGAUUCAUUCUCUUUUGCCCAAACCCUUAAAAAAUGCACUGUGCAUUUGUGCUUCAGCCCCUCCGCUGCCCAGUCUGUUACAGGUAUGUAUGCACCAGAGAAGCUGAGAUACAGGUAAAAUACUCUACAGAAUGUGACAUGGAAGCAGCCAUUUCUAUGAGCCACUAUUCUGUGAACUGAUUCGUUCUCUUUUGCCCAAACCCUUAAAAAAUGUGAGCAUUUCCAAUUAUUUGAUUUUUUUUGUUCUUUUCAUUUUCUAUUAGUUUCUUUCUUUAGUAUAUUGCUAUUAAUGCUAGAAUACAGUGAUGUUUAUAAACUGCUUUUGAUACAUAGAGCCAGAAAAUGAACUACUAUAGAGAACUUAAUCUCAAGUCCCUUUGAUGCAAAACUUAGAGUACAAAACCACAAUACAAGUCAUUAGAAUGCUAUAAUUGCAAGUUUUGCUUAACCAGCAUUGAAGCUAAAUGAAGUUGGGCAAUACUUUAAAAUGCUGUGUUUGAAAACAAUGGAUUUCUCUGUAUUUGCACUUUUCAUCCAAACUUAACCAAAUGUUGCCACAAAAAUGUGGUAGUACCCAGGAUGCUGGAGCACCAGAGUACCAGGGAUCUUUUCUAAGUCUCCUUAAGCACCUGGUAGACAUUAUGUAGCAUUUAUGCUGCUGGCCUGGAUGGGUCAGCAAUGACUGUACCGAGUAUGAGAGUUUGUGCAUCCUGCCCAAAUAUGCUCUUGUGCAGUAGUUGUGAAUAGGCUAGCCAAGGGAUAACGAGAACUUGAACAUCUGAGAAGUAGAGACAGGGAAACACUGCUGCUUUUUACUGAUACUAAAAAUAGUGUGCAUCUCAUUUUGCAUGGUUUACACAGUGAAUGUAAUUUUUUUGGUUUUUUCCCCUGAAGAUCUGUGUAUGAAUUUUCUGGGAAGUAAAGACAUCUAUGUGUCUUAAGGUUUUAUAGUAUUUUAGUACCACUUCAGGUUGCUUUGACAGUGCUCAGUUUUAUACGAUACUGUUGUAUUUGCUUUAAUUCUAUUACAAAUGGAUUAUUAUUAAAUUCUGCUGGUAAUGAAGAUACUAAUUAUUGAUUGGUACUACAUUGGCUGAUAGUUUUAAUCUUGCAUGGAUCAGUGCUCAGUUUUAUACGAUACUGUUGUAUUUGCUUUAAUUCUAUUACAAAUGGAUUAUUAUUAAAUUCUGCUGGUAAUGAAGAUAUUAAUUAUUGAUUGGUACUACAUUGGCUGAUAGUUUUAAUCUUGCAUGGAUUGUAAAAGGCAGAGGGAAUGACAAUCCCAGACAUGUGCACUGCUUCAAAGUGAUUUGCAAGGAACAGCUCAUUAAGUUGUAAAAGGCAGAG